CGGGUGAGUAACACGUGAGUGACCUGCCUUUUAGACUGGAACGACUUACCGAAAGGUGAGCUAAUGCCGGAUGAGUUAUAUAAGUGCAUGUUUAUAUAGGCAAAGUUGGGGAGACCUGACGCUGAAAGAUGGACUCGCGUCCCAUUAGCUAGUUGGUAGGGUAAUGGCCUACCAAGGCGACGAUGGGUAGCCGGCCUGAGAGGGUGGCCGGCCACACUGGGACUGAGACACGGCCCAGACUCCUACGGGAGGCAGCAG
Molecule: ribosomal RNA, 258 nt
Filed under: uncultured bacterium
Lineage: Bacteria
Description: partial 16S ribosomal RNA
Rfam family: Bacterial small subunit ribosomal RNA
Source: RNAcentral